AGCUACAUCUGGCUACUGGGUCUCU
RNAcentral lists this non-coding RNA (25 nucleotides) under Drosophila melanogaster (fruit fly). The record is from RNAcentral. RNAcentral also lists the same sequence under 6 other names. Lineage: Eukaryota; Metazoa; Arthropoda; Insecta; Diptera; Drosophilidae.